AGGCAGCGGUCAAGCAGCAGUAAGUUGCUGUGUCAGCAGAGGGAUAAUAACUACUGUCAGCAGCAAGGUCCCGACUGAAGUGGCAGCUGCAGUUGUUCCUGUGGUGUGGGCCAGUGGAAUUCCAAGAAAAUGGACAAGAGCAGAACCUGUAAGAAUUACCCCUAAGCCAGAGUCUCUCCUGGCAGAAGAGCCCCGGCCUGAGCUGGCUGAGUGUUGGUGUGACCCACAGUGGGUGUCCCCUGCCCUCGGGACAGUCCCCAGAGCUCCCUUUGGAUCCCCUGGUGAAGGGUGGGAGCUGCCCAGAGCCAGCAGCAUCCAGCUGGAGGAUCCAGGAGGAUGCAGCCCUGCUUUGCUGGGAGGGAAUAACUCCUGUCAGCAGCAAGGUCCUGACUGAAGUGGCAG
Chiroxiphia lanceolata (lance-tailed manakin) is the source of this 402-nucleotide long non-coding RNA. RefSeq lists it as uncharacterized. Lineage: Eukaryota; Metazoa; Chordata; Aves; Passeriformes; Pipridae. The transcript is spliced from 4 exons. The record is from RefSeq and is a predicted model, not a curated record.